GCGCAGCAGGCGCGAAACCUCCGCAAUGCGCGACAGCGUGACGGGGUCAUCCCGAGUGCCGCCCGCUGAGGACGGCUUUUCCCCAGUGUAAGGAACUGGGGGAAUAAGGGGAGGGCAAGUCUGGUGUCAGCCGCCGCGGUAAUACCAGCUCCCUGAGUGGUGGGGAUGAUUACUGGGCCUAAAGCGUCCGUAGCCGGCUUGGCAAGUCUUCCGUUAAAUUCGAUGAUUUAAUCGUCGAACUGCGGGAGAUACUACCAAGCUAGGGGGCGGGAGAGGCCGGCGGUAGUCCCGGGGUAGGGGUGAAAUCCUAUAAUCCCGGGAGGACCACCAGUGGCGAAGGCGGCCGGCCAGAACGCGCCCGACGGUGAGGGAUGAAAGCUGGGGGAGCGAACCGGAUUAGAUAUGAAGUUGAGUUUUUACCAGCUUCACUAGAAACCCGGGUAGUCC
RNAcentral lists this ribosomal RNA (447 nucleotides) under uncultured archaeon. RNAcentral's name for it is "partial 16S ribosomal RNA". It matches the Rfam family "Archaeal small subunit ribosomal RNA", at positions 330 to 747 of the family's 1478-position model. The record is from RNAcentral.